This 1465-nucleotide ribosomal RNA is filed under the name Prochlorococcus sp. AG-418-M08. Its description in RNAcentral is "bacterial SSU rRNA". It matches the Rfam family "Bacterial small subunit ribosomal RNA". Lineage: Bacteria; Bacillati; Cyanobacteriota; Cyanophyceae; Synechococcales; Prochlorococcaceae. The record is from RNAcentral.
AGAGUUUGAUCCUGGCUCAGGAUGAACGCUGGCGGCGUGCUUAACACAUGCAAGUCGAACGAACCUUCGGGUUAGUGGCGGACGGGUGAGUAACGCGUGAGAAUCUGCCCUCAGGAGGGGGAUAACGGUUGGAAACGACCGCUAAUACCCCAUAUGCCGAUAGGUGAAAUGAAUUUCGCCUGAGGAUGAGCUCGCGUCUGAUUAGCUUGUUGGUGAGGUAAUGGCUCACCAAGGCUUCGAUCAGUAGCUGGUCUGAGAGGAUGAUCAGCCACACUGGGACUGAGACACGGCCCAGACUCCUACGGGAGGCAGCAGUGGGGAAUUUUCCGCAAUGGGCGAAAGCCUGACGGAGCAACGCCGCGUGAGGGACGAAGGCCUCUGGGCUGUAAACCUCUUUUCUCAAGGAAGAAGAUAUGACGGUACUUGAGGAAUAAGCCACGGCUAAUUCCGUGCCAGCAGCCGCGGUAAUACGGGAGUGGCAAGCGUUAUCCGGAAUUAUUGGGCGUAAAGCGUCCGCAGGCGGCCUUUCAAGUCUGCUGUUAAAGAGUGGAGCUUAACUCCAUCAUGGCAGUGGAAACUGAUUGGCUUGAGUAUGGUAGGGGCAGAGGGAAUUCCCGGUGUAGCGGUGAAAUGCGUAGAUAUCGGGAAGAACACCAGUGGCGAAGGCGCUCUGCUGGGCCAUUACUGACGCUCAUGGACGAAAGCCAGGGGAGCGAAAGGGAUUAGAUACCCCUGUAGUCCUGGCCGUAAACGAUGAACACUAGGUGUCGGGGGAAUCGACCCCUUCGGUGUCGUAGCUAACGCGUUAAGUGUUCCGCCUGGGGAGUACGCACGCAAGUGUGAAACUCAAAGGAAUUGACGGGGGCCCGCACAAGCGGUGGAGUAUGUGGUUUAAUUCGAUGCAACGCGAAGAACCUUACCAGGGUUUGACAUCCUGAGAACCUCUUAGAAAUUUGAGGGUGCCUUCGGGAAUUCAGUGACAGGUGGUGCAUGGCUGUCGUCAGCUCGUGUCGUGAGAUGUUGGGUUAAGUCCCGCAACGAGCGCAACCCACGUUUUUAGUUGCCAGCAUUUAGUUGGGCACUCUAGAAAGACCGCCGGUGAUAAACCGGAGGAAGGUGUGGAUGACGUCAAGUCAUCAUGCCCCUUACACCCUGGGCUACACACGUACUACAAUGCCACGGACAAAGGGCAGCAAACUCGCGAGAGCUAGCAAAUCCCAUAAACCGUGGCUCAGUUCAGAUCGUAGGCUGCAACUCGCCUACGUGAAGUAGGAAUCGCUAGUAAUCGCAGGUCAGCAUACUGCGGUGAAUACGUUCCCGGGCCUUGUACACACCGCCCGUCACACCAUGGAAGUUGGCCAUGCCCGAAGUCGUUACUCCAACCCUUGUGGAGGAGGACGCCGAAGGUGGGGCUAAUGACUGGGGUGAAGUCGUAACAAGGUAGCCGUACCGGAAGGUGCGGCUG